RNAcentral lists this small nucleolar RNA (200 nucleotides) under Propithecus coquereli (Coquerel's sifaka). RNAcentral describes it as "Small nucleolar RNA U3 (ENSPCOG00000012302.1)". It matches the Rfam family "Small nucleolar RNA U3". From Rfam's summary of the family: Small nucleolar RNAs (snoRNAs) are involved in the processing and modification of rRNA in the nucleolus. Lineage: Eukaryota; Metazoa; Chordata; Mammalia; Primates; Indriidae. The record is from Rfam by way of RNAcentral.
AAGACUAUAUUUUCAGAGGCCAUUUCUACAGUUCGUUACUAGAGAAGUUUCUCUGAACGUGUAGAGCCCUGGAAACCGCAAGGAGGAGACUUAACGUUCUCUCCUGAGCCUAAGGCCAGCUGUCGGUUUCGCUUCAUUGCAACCGCCACUUGCCAUUGAUGAUUGCUCUCUUCCUCUGGGAGGUUAUAUACGAGACCGCU